Molecule: RNA transcript, 896 nt
Organism: Zea mays
Lineage: Eukaryota; Viridiplantae; Streptophyta; Magnoliopsida; Poales; Poaceae
Exons: 1
Source: RefSeq, a predicted model, not a curated record
GAUUUGCUGACUGCUCCUCUCACCACUCAAAAUUUGUGAUGGAACAGGACCAUCAAGCCUAUGAAGAGGUUGAUCACUAUGCUAAGAGGAAAGCAGCCAAUAUCUGUGCUUCCACCGGUGCUAGAGUUGUCAAGAGAAAAAUAGAAGCAAGCAGGAUCCCACCUAAUGGUUUAGUCAGAAGAACAGGCAAGGAACAGAAAGUAUCUACACAUGAAUUUCGCCAGUUAACCAAGAACGAGUUGCCCCCAAAGGUGUCUGCUAGGAAUGCCAUCAACGGAGAUCAUUUUCAUAGGCCUUUAAGUAGCAGAUACAACGAUCUGCCUGAGAAACCUCUGCGCACCAGAGAAGAGGAUGAGUGCUCGGUGGCUAGCUGCAACGCUAAUUACUCAGAGCACAGUACCAGUGAUGAUGACCAUGAAUCAGUCAGAACGGGCAGUUGUUUCCUGAUGAUGUUAUGUCUGCAUGUGAGUAUGGGCAGGAGACUGAGGACGCCUAUGGCUCUGGUUUGUUUCUGAACAUCCAUGAGCUAGAGCUGCGAGCAUAUCGAUCAACCGUCAGAGCUCUCCAUGCUGCAGGACCUCUGACGUGGGAGCAAGAGUCGCUCCUGACGAACCUCCGCCUCUCGCUCAACAUCUCGAACGAGGAACACUUGCUUCAGUUGAGGCAUCUCCUAUCUUUUUGAAAAUUUUAAAAAAUCAAUAUUUUUUUGAACACCUGUAGAUUACCUCCAACUCGCAGAGAAUCUCCGCAGGCUUGUAGCGUGCGUAACUCGAGGGUGUUGUAUAUAGAGAAGAGUCCAGAGAAAUUAACAUGUAGCUGUUGUACUUCAUCAGAACUUUGUUGCUAGGAGUACAUGAGUCUUGCAAUUUUUUUAAAACUUUAGUGCUCAUUUUAUA